CAGCAAUGGGCACAGGCAAGGGAAGGAGGGUUUAGGCUCAGGAAGAGUUAGAGGCUUUCUGGGUUGUCAAAGUUGCUGGGCAUGGUUCUUUUAUACCAUAGAGGAAUGGUACUAGAGGGUCGAGGUGGGAAAUGGAUUCCUUUAGAUGACUCAAAAAAGUUUGUUUGUUUGUUCUGGUUUUUAAUGAGAAGACUGCUCAUAGGAAUGGGGCUAGAGAUUAGGGAAGCAACUGAAGACUUGGAGCUAUCCAUGUCCCAGCAACAACAGGAAGCUGUAUCAUCUUGUCACAGGAGAAGACAGUAUUAUAAGGGCCUAUUGAAACUCAGUGUCAUAGAGGAGGAUACUUCAACACAGAAGAUACAGCUACUGUCAUCAAAAGCAUCUCUGGAACUAAGAAGAUGGGGAGAAAUACAAGGGGAUAUUUGUAGGAAUCCUGAAUGGGUCAGAGCCAGACAGAAGGCAGCUAGCAGGAGAACCAAAGUUCAUCAGUCUACAGAAGUCACCUCCCCCAGUCACAAGUUGGGGAAAAGGAAGGCAGUGAAUUUGGGUUGGAAGCAAAUGAGGGGCAAGAACAGAACGCAGGAGAUCUCAGUCUUAAGGCAGGGAUCUGGAGGCACCUCAUGCUGAGUGGACAGCUGUGAGUUGGAAAUCUGAAGCCACACGGAGAAUAAAGAAGCCACGGAACACA
RNAcentral lists this long non-coding RNA (688 nucleotides) under Mus spicilegus (steppe mouse). RNAcentral's name for it is "lncRNA (ENSMSIG00000006492.1)". The record is from RNAcentral. Lineage: Eukaryota; Metazoa; Chordata; Mammalia; Rodentia; Muridae.